Long non-coding RNA from Sorghum bicolor (sorghum), 3852 nucleotides. RefSeq lists it as uncharacterized. The transcript is spliced from 6 exons. NCBI's taxonomy places the organism in Eukaryota, Viridiplantae, Streptophyta, Magnoliopsida, Poales, Poaceae. The record is from RefSeq and is a predicted model, not a curated record.
UAAAAAAAACUUUCCACCCGCUUCGUACAGUCGAACUACUCCAGUGCUCGCCAUGGCGAGCAUGGGAAGCAGCUCUACGGCGUCCGCCCCCUCUCGGGACCCCGGCGACGUAGAGACGCGCACGAAACCCUGGUCAUCUCCAAGGUAGCAGAGGCCACCGAUACAGUUGCCGACUUGCCGCAGCCGCAGCGACGAGCGCCCGCGAGGUGGUCUGCGACCCUCUGCGUACUCCACGCCCUCAGCGCCCUUCUCUUCCCCUUCGACUCGUCCGCUGUCGCCGCUCGCCGGAUUCAGGAUUCAGGAGUCAGGAACUCAGAAUUUUGACUGACGGAAGGGGUUUGUGGAGAUCAGGAAGUCUGUUUUGGCCUGUGUUUGCGGACUUGCAGCAUUGCAGGAAUAGCAUGCCAAAAUGGAAUCCAUAACAAAUGAGGCCUUGUUUGGAUGUUGUCGGAUUCACCUCAAUCCACAUGUGUUGGAGUGGAUUGGGGUGAAAUUUAGUUCAAGUUCCACUCCAAUCCACACCAACACAUAUGGAUUGAUGCGAAUCCGACUACAUCCAAACAAAGCCUGAAUGGUUUCUGCUGUUUCAUUGGUGUAUCGCUUCUAUAUUUAGAUAAUAAGAAACCAGAUAUGCAACUGAGAUUGGAGAAAUUAUGUUCUGAAAUAACAUUGUACCAGAUUAAAUGUGCUACGAGGUCUUUUGAUAGAUAAGCAUUUGUCAAACAUAAAUCUUCUCUAUUAAUACAUGCCCAGCAAAUUUCUUGCUGAUGGAUUCCAAAAAAAAAAAAAAACUCAUUACAUAAAUAAUUCUGCAAUGGGUUAUGACACAAGCUGUUACUGAAACAUCUUAGAUCAGAACGCAAAAGUAGCCGUACAUAAUUAUCGAAUGUUGAAGCCUAUGUCUUUGGAUAAAACAUUCAUGACAAAUUACUCUGUUCUAAUUUUGGGAGAUAAAUUAGUGAAUCUUUUAAAACACAUGUGCUUCUUUAUUCAAGAAAUUGGACUUCAGAACCAUGGAUAGCUUGGAGAAUUUAUCUUUUCUAUGUUUUCAGAUUAUUGAAGCUGUAAGCCUCAGCAUUAAUGAGAGAGAGAGUAUUGAGGCAUGCAUUUCAUCAUGGUCCAGAAUUUUCUUUUAUGUCUAAGAUGUUGUUUAGCAGUAUGUAUACACCUCAAAUUUCUCAUUGUAUAAUGCAAUUGUAUUACAUUUACAUGUACAGUUAUCCCCACUUGCUUCUAAGUAUCCACACACAACUAAUGGUAGCUUCCACUGCCAACUGCAAUCUCAUAGUGCCAUGCUUUAUUUGUUACCUGUCAUCAGCUACAGCCUCAUGAAAUGCAUGAUUGUUUCGUUUGCAAUGGUGGAAUCAACAGAUAAUUGACUUUUGCCAUUAAUCAAAGGCAAGCUUCUAGUUCUGGAGCUAUUUAGACACUUCUGUUCAGAUAAAAUAUCUUUGAAGUGUGAAUGUUCAUCUGCAAAUUCAUUUUGUAUCAAUUAUGCCAAUUGUUGAAAUCAACAGAUCUCUGUAACUACAAGUGUUUACUGGGGUCCUUCUGAUCUGAGAGUUUUUGUCCAUUGUGCAAGAGUGUCCUGUACUCACAAUCGUGUCAUGAACUCUUGCUGUCUGUUGUCCUUAUCUGGUUCUUCAAUUAGAUAAUCUACAUAUCACUUCUGCUUAAAUUGAAAAGCCAUCCAUAUGUGGUUUCACUAUUGAAUGAGAAGAAAGCCUAAAGUUUGUUUUACACUGGUUUGUGGUCCUCAUUGAUUCUUUGCAGUAAUUUUGUUGUUAUGCUUCCAAAAACAUCUAGAAUUUUCAGCACAUUUUAAUCAGUUUGUGACUUUUUCAUUCUUGAGCAUUUUACACUCUAUAAUCCAUUCUUCCACUUUGGUUGCAUGAUGUUGCCUUGCACUGUUCAUGGGAGAUUUGUGCCUUUGCAAGGAGAGGAAUUUAUGAUUUAGUUUUUGUUGAAGUAACUUGAACUUGAAAUGAUUCAAGCUCUUGUUCUUUUCUGAGAAAAAAAAUUCAAACUCUUGUUCCAGAUUUAUCUUGAAAAGAAGAUUCUAAGAUAACUUACCGGACUUUUUGCUGGAAUAGUGAAAGCUGUUAUUCGUAACAAUUCCGUUACAGGUUCUUAUCAGAACUACAAUCUGUUCCUAUUUUAUAAGGCAUUACACCAAAAAACAUGCUCCAUGGUUCAUCUUCGAGGGCUUGAGAGCUUGACAAUUGUCAUGCCUUUUUCUCAUUUAAUCUUUGGAUGAUGCAUGCACUGUUGUUCAGCCUAUUAUUUGUUCACUGCAUGCAAAUGGAAGAGCAAAAGCAACUGCGGCACAUUUUCAUCUUAUAUUUAACUAGUGAUUUCUGCUACUUAAUUUGAAACUUUUACUUCCAUGCGGGAUAUUCCUUUUUCUCUUGUUUGACAACUAUAUUUUGAAUUUAUAUUUGAUACUUAAAAAAAAUACCCAUUUUAGACAGCUUAUUCUAUGGCAGCUUACUUAUAAGGCAGUUUUCCAAAUCAUUGCAUAGUUUACUAGUUAUGAAGCAUGGUGAUGGCAUUCUCAUCUAAAUAGAGAAGCACUCAUUUCAAGGCUUGGACCUUGGACAACUACUUGCAUCCAUUCCAGGUAAGGCUGAGUCUUGGUUCAAUAUGGUUGAAGCAAUGAGAGAUCCGCAAGUUAUCUAAUUAAGGUUGAAGAAUAGUAGUUGCACCAACUUACAUCACAAUAUACAUGCCAUAGCAGUUUAUUGGAUUCUGUGGACCCUCUUUAAGAGGAACUUCAUGCGAGCAGUCUAUCAUGUAUUGGACUAAAGAGAGCAGUCUAUCAUCUAUCAGAGGAUAAAACAGAUAUGCCAUUUAGAUCUUGCACCUGCACUAAUAAUACUUGAUACUCCAGAUAUUGUAAGUUCCCAACUCAUGUAUCAUUGCCUUUCAAAGAAAAUAUUGCAAAAUCCUAAUAUUUCUUUAUUUUCUGUCCCCAAUAUUGGAAGUGCUAAUUCUACCAAAAAGCCUGGGGGAGCAUCACCUCAUGAACUUAGCUACAAACUCAGGUCAUUCUGAACACUAGUAAUGUAGGCUUGGGCUGAUGUAGCAAAGGAGGGAGGGAGGGAGCUCAUUUGAAUCACUAUGUGUUCUGAACAAAUUGAUAUAUUCAUCUGUGUCACUGUGUGUUUUGCAUGUUGACUUCUUUGGACUCAUUUGUGGCAUCAUCUCUAAACUUAGACCAGGACAUCUCUACUGGGUUGGAGCAGAAACACACAUGGUCUCUUCAAGUUGCUAAAACUGAUCCUGCUACUGAAUGCUCAUCAUUUCAGUAAUCAGUACUGCAUAGAGAACAAACUACUAUAAAGAUGUUAUAGACCAUUCAUCUGCCAUUCUGCUCCUUGAGAUAUAGAGCAAUUGUGGAUAGCAGUGGCCCUUUUCUUCCCAAAGAGGGCAUGGGAGUGCUCUUCAACAAGCGAAUAAGCUUUCUCUCCGUUCCAAAUUAUGGCCUUGGCCUGCCUACGGCUAGAAUCUGCACUUCAGGUGCAUUGCACACGCUGGAAUCUGCAUAUGACUCCAAGGCCCGCGCACCUUUCAAGGGUGACAAGAUUAUAAUUCCAUUCGGAAACAUGGUGAUGAACUGUAUGGGUAAUGGAGAGAAUUUUCCUGCUCUGUUACUAAUUGUUACAUGUCCGUAGCAAAUUCUUGUAGGAUAGGCCACCAGUGUUUUUCCCCCCUUGUACGUAUAUGUCUAUUUACAUUUUUUUUUUUCCAAUUCUCCGUAAGGCCUACUUUGGCAGCCAUAGGGUAAUUAGCCCUGGGAAGUCAUCGGAGGGGAGGGAUUUUUUGGGACAGAACAAACCCCGUCCAAUGCAG